RNAcentral lists this transfer RNA (71 nucleotides) under Otolemur garnettii (small-eared galago). It matches the Rfam family "tRNA". From Rfam's summary of the family: Transfer RNA (tRNA) molecules are approximately 80 nucleotides in length. Their secondary structure includes four short double-helical elements and three loops (D, anti-codon, and T loops). The record is from Rfam by way of RNAcentral. Lineage: Eukaryota; Metazoa; Chordata; Mammalia; Primates; Galagidae.
GUACCUGUAGCUCAGCAGCUAGGGCACCAGCCACAUACUGGAGUUGGCAGGUUCAAAUCCAGCCAGGUCUG